CGUACACUCCUGCGGGAGGCAGCAGUGGGGAAUAUUGCACAAUGGGCGCAAGCCUGAUGCAGCCAUGCCGCGUGUAUGAAGAAGGCCUUCGGGUUGUAAAGUACUUUCAGCGGGGAGGAAGGCAAUACGGUUAAUAACCGUGUUGAUUGACGUUACCCGCAGAAGAAGCACCGGCUAACUCCGUGCCAGCAGCCGCGGUAAUACGGCGGGUGCAAGCGUUAAUCGGAAUUACUGGGCGUAAAGCGCACGCAGGCGGUCUGUCAAGUCGGAUGUGAAAUCCCCGGGCUCAACCUGGGAACUGCAUUCGAAACUGGCAGGCUUGAGUCUUGUAGAGGGGGGUAGAAUUCCAGGUGUAGCGGUGAAAUGCGUAGAGAUCUGGAGGAAUACCGGUGGCGAAGGCGGCCCCCUGGACAAAGACUGACGCUCAGGUGCGAAAGCGUGGGGAGCAAACAGGAUUAGAUACCCUUGUAGUCCCAU
RNAcentral lists this ribosomal RNA (477 nucleotides) under uncultured organism. Its description in RNAcentral is "partial 16S ribosomal RNA". It matches the Rfam family "Bacterial small subunit ribosomal RNA", at positions 330 to 798 of the family's 1533-position model. The record is from RNAcentral.